RNAcentral lists this ribosomal RNA (492 nucleotides) under uncultured bacterium. Its description in RNAcentral is "partial 16S ribosomal RNA". It matches the Rfam family "Bacterial small subunit ribosomal RNA", at positions 29 to 507 of the family's 1533-position model. The record is from RNAcentral.
AGUGAACGCCGGCGGUAGGCCUAACACAUGCAAGUCGAACGGCAGCACAGUAAGAGCUUGCUCUUACGGGUGGCGAGUGGCGGACGGGUGAGGAAUACAUCGGAAUCUACUUUUUCGUGGGGGAUAACGUAGGGAAACUUACGCUAAUACCGCAUACGACCUACGGGUGAAAGCAGGGGAUCUUCGGACCUUGCGCGAUUGAAUGAGCCGAUGUCGGAUUAGCUAGUUAGCGGGGUAAAGGCCCACCAAGGCGACGAUCCGUAGCUGGUCUGAGAGGAUGAUCAGCCACACUGGAACUGAGACACGGUCCAGACUCCUACGGGAGGCAGCAGUGGGGAAUAUUGGACAAUGGGCGCAAGCCUGAUCCAGCCAUACCGCGUGGGUGAAGAAGGCCUUCGGGUUGUAAAGCCCUUUUGUUGGGAAAGAAAAGCAGCAGGUUAAUACCCCGCUGUUCUGACGGUACCCAAAGAAUAAGCACCGGCUAACUUCGUG